CCUGAUUUCCUUCUCCCCAAAGAGGUUCGAUUCCCCCUUCAGCCCCGUAGCCUAGCAACUGGGGUGGAGGCGGGUUGUAAUGGUGGACUAAAACAGGCGAUCCCCUGUCUGAAGAGAUGCUCCUUGGGAAGAGACCCACCGAGGGGAAGUGGCGGCGAUACAUGACAUUGUAAGAGACAGAAGCCCGGGCACUUACUUACUGAUCUUGUGGCAGAAGGAGGGCGCGAGUCUUACCUCUCUCCUUCGGAUGCUGCCCAGCUGUUGGGGUGUGCACAGACCGCUCCUCCGAGAUGCGGGAAGGUGAUCAGAGCGGCUCUCCCACGCCCCGGCAGCCACGCUCGCCCAGCCCCGCUGCACCUGACCAGCUCCUGAGCUUGGAAAUUGGCCUGCAGCGCGGCGCGUUCUGACGCACGGAUGAACUCCCCAGAUCUCUGCGCGGGGCUGGGACCCAACCUCACUCUUCCAGCUGCAGCGGGUGGUCCACGCCGGUAGCCUCCCGGCUGCAGAAAGCUGAACGUCUCCGGUCUGCUGCGGAGCAGAUCCCACUCCGCUCUGAUCAGCCCGUGUGGAAACACAGCCACAUCUCCGCCUCUGCUCAGUCUCUGGGCAACUUCUGUCACAUCCCUCUGGGUCUCACUCGGAGCCACUUUCUGGAGAGCCAGCUACCUCUCUGCCUGCGCCCGGAUCUGCUCCUACCCCGAGAAGACCAGCCACAGGCUAGGUGCUCCUGUGCAUUCCUGAGUCUCCCGGAAAAGCUGGAGCAAGCAGCCGGGUGUAGCGUGGGCCAAGAGAGCAGGGGCUCCCGGAAAAGCCACAGCAGCUUCCAAAAAUAGACAAGUGCCCUUGAAGAAUGUCAUCUUGAAUCAAGCCGGUGCUGCUUCUCCGGGCGGGAGACUCUCUGAUCUAUCCAAGACGUCCCCUGUGGCUCUCCCCUCUGCCGGCUGGCACAAGAUGGAGGCUGUGCAGUCCCCUGCUUGGAUUGAUGGGGGAAAACCAGGCCCCUCCUGGGAUCUGUCUCAGCACGUCCGUACUGAUCUA
This 1038-nucleotide long non-coding RNA is filed under the name Chrysemys picta bellii (western painted turtle). RNAcentral's name for it is "lncRNA (ENSCPBG00000001591.1)". Lineage: Eukaryota; Metazoa; Chordata; Testudines; Emydidae. The record is from RNAcentral.